CGCAAUAUAGUUAUUUCUCCUCAAGUUUAUUCCAUACAGUACACUAUGCCACUUGAAAGAUUUCUCUAUCGGUUCCUUGGACAAUAAAACUCACUUAUAAGUGUCGCCCCGAUGAUGAUCAAGGGCACUUGCGAACGCCGCCAUGGGUGGCGAGCGCAAAGUAGCAGGGACAUGAAUCGUAGUUGCCGUAGGUGCCCGGAGGAACGCAGCUGCACCUGGCACAGCAGGUCCCGCAGGCCCUCUUGCACAAGUUUGGCCUUGACGACUUGCUGCACCUCACCGAGCAUGCCGCCCCACAGUCUAUCCCGCCAAGAAGAGAACGUCCUGUCCGGGUCUCAGAUUCAGAAACAGAACUAGGCUCGACGAGAUUGACGAGGAGGAAGAGGAGUACAAGAGAUGCCAAGAAGGAGCUGGAUGAAGCCAUUGAUGAGAUGAGGAGGCAGUAGGAGCUUCUUCAGCUUAGCAACUGGAUUGUAGUUGUAUUGGCUU
RNAcentral lists this unclassified non-coding RNA (489 nucleotides) under Hevea brasiliensis (rubber tree). Lineage: Eukaryota; Viridiplantae; Streptophyta; Magnoliopsida; Malpighiales; Euphorbiaceae. The record is from RNAcentral.